AAAUCACACACCAACAUUUGCAGCGGAAAUAAAUUCUUUAUUGCAAAAUGAUUACAUGUUACAAUAAGUUUACAUUAUACAAUUAUCGGAGUGAUUACAAAAGAAAAUGAUUAAAUAGAAUUACAAUUUAAAAUGUAUAAAAUAUUUAUAAGUUUUAAAAUACAUGUUAACUUAAGUGACAAUCCUCAAUAGAGAAACUAAAGACGGGAUAUACUUAUAGAAGAAGGCCGAGCCCACCGGCACUUAGCACCAUCCACAACAGAACAAAAUUACAACCUGAAAAAC
RNAcentral lists this long non-coding RNA (285 nucleotides) under Zea mays. RNAcentral's name for it is "drought responsive lncRNA". The record is from RNAcentral. Lineage: Eukaryota; Viridiplantae; Streptophyta; Magnoliopsida; Poales; Poaceae.